This 458-nucleotide ribosomal RNA is filed under the name uncultured bacterium. RNAcentral's name for it is "partial 16S ribosomal RNA". It matches the Rfam family "Bacterial small subunit ribosomal RNA", at positions 962 to 1443 of the family's 1533-position model. The record is from RNAcentral.
CGCNNNANCUUACCAACCCUUGACAUCNUAUGACNACCUGAGAGAUCAGGCUUNNCUUCGGGACAUAGUGACAGNUGCUGCAUNGCUGUCGUCAGCUCGUGUCGUGAGAUGUUCGGUUAAGUCCGGCAACGAGCGCAACCCACAUCCCUAGUUGCCAGCAGUUCGGNCNGGGCACUCUAUGGAAACUGCCCGUGAUAAGCGGGAGGAAGGUGUGGAUGACGUCAAGUCCUCAUGGCCCUUACGGGUUGGGCUACACACGUGCUACAAUGGCAACUACAGUGAGUUAAUCUCCAAAAGUUGUCUCAGUUCGGAUUGGGGUCUGCAACUCGACCCCAUGAAGUCGGAAUCGCUAGUAAUCGCGUAACAGCAUGACGCGGUGAAUACGUUCCCGGGCCUUGUACACACCGCCCGUCACACCAUGGGAGUUGGUUCUACCCGACGGCCGUGCGCUAACCUCU